CCUACGGGAGGCAGCAGUCGGGAAUUUUGGGCAAUGGGCGAAAGCCUGACCCAGCAACGCCGCGUGAAGGAUGAAGUAUUUCGGUAUGUAAACUUCGAAAGAAUAGGAAACGGUACUAUUUAUAAGGUCCGGCUAACUACGUGCCAGCAGCCGCGGUAAUACGUAGGGACCAAGCGUUGUUCGGAUUUACUGGGCGUAAAGGGCGCGUAGGCGGCGUGGUAAGUCACUUGUGAAAUCUCUGAGCUUAACUCAGAACGGCCAAGUGAUACUGCUGUGCUAGAGUGCAGAAGGGGCAAUCGGAAUUCUUGGUGUAGCGGUGAAAUGCGUAGAUAUCAAGAGGAACACCUGAGGUGAAGACGGGUUGCUGGGCUGAACUGACGCUGAGGCGCGAAAGCCAGGGGAGCAAACGGGAUUAGAUACCCUUGUAGUC
Molecule: ribosomal RNA, 430 nt
Filed under: uncultured bacterium
Lineage: Bacteria
Description: partial 16S ribosomal RNA
Rfam family: Bacterial small subunit ribosomal RNA
Source: RNAcentral